AGUGAACGCUGGCGGUAGGCCUAACACAUGCAAGUCGAACGGCAGCACAGUAAGAGCUUGCUCUUACGGGUGGCGAGUGGCGGACGGGUGAGGAAUACAUCGGAAUCUACUUUUUCGUGGGGGAUAACGUAGGGAAACUUACGCUAAUACCGCAUACGACCUACGGGUGAAAGCAGGGGAUCUUCGGACCUUGCGCGAUUGGAUGAGCCGAUGUCGGAUUAGCUAGUUGGCGGGGUAAAGGCCCACCAAGGCGACGAUCCGUAGCUGGUCUGAGAGGAUGAUCAGCCACACUGGAACUGAGACACGGUCCAGACUCCUACGGGAGGCAGCAGUGGGGAAUAUUGGACAAUGGGCGCAAGCCUGAUCCAGCCAUACCGCGUGGGUGAAGAAGGCCUUCGGGUUGUAAAGCCCUUUUGUUGGGAAAGAAAAGCAGCAGGUUAAUACCCCGCUGUUCUGACGGUACCCAAAGAAUAAGCAUCGGCUAACUUCGUG
Molecule: ribosomal RNA, 492 nt
Filed under: uncultured bacterium
Lineage: Bacteria
Description: partial 16S ribosomal RNA
Rfam family: Bacterial small subunit ribosomal RNA
Source: RNAcentral